GAUGAACGCUGGCGGCGUGCCUAAUACAUGCAAGUCGAGCGAACAGACGAGGAGCUUGCUCCUCUGACGUUAGCGGCGGACGGGUGAGUAACACGUGGAUAACCUACCUAUAAGACUGGGAUAACUUCGGGAAACCGGAGCUAAUACCGGAUAAUAUAUUGAACCGCAUGGUUCAAUAGUGAAAGACGGUUUUGCUGUCACUUAUAGAUGGAUCCGCGCCGCAUUAGCUAGUUGGUAAGGUAACGGCUUACCAAGGCAACGAUGCGUAGCCGACCUGAGAGGGGGAUCGGCCACCCUGGAACUGAGACACGGUCCAGACUCCCACGGGAGGCAGCAGUAGGGAAUCUUCCGCAAUGGGCGAAAGCCUGACGGAGCAACGCCGCGUGAGUGAUGAAGGUCUUCGGAUCGUAAAACUCUGUUAUUAGGGAAGAACAAAUGUGUAAGUAACUAUGCACGUCUUGACGGUACCUAAUCAGAAAGCCACGGCUAACUACGUG
RNAcentral lists this ribosomal RNA (497 nucleotides) under uncultured bacterium. Its description in RNAcentral is "partial 16S ribosomal RNA". It matches the Rfam family "Bacterial small subunit ribosomal RNA", at positions 28 to 507 of the family's 1533-position model. The record is from RNAcentral.